UAAUACGUAGGGUGCAAGCGUUGUCCGGAAUUAUUGGGCGUAAAGAGCUCGUAGGCGGUCUGUCGCGUCGGAUGUGAAAAUCCAGGGCUCAACCCUGGACCUGCAUUCGAUACGGGCAGACUAGAGUUCGGUAGGGGAGACUGGAAUUCCUGGUGUAGCGGUGAAAUGCGCAGAUAUCAGGAGGAACACCGGUGGCGAAGGCGGGUCUCUGGGCCGAAACUGACGCUGAGGAGCGAAAGCGUGGGGAGCAAACAGGAUUA
This 260-nucleotide ribosomal RNA is filed under the name uncultured bacterium. RNAcentral describes it as "partial 16S ribosomal RNA". It matches the Rfam family "Bacterial small subunit ribosomal RNA", at positions 521 to 780 of the family's 1533-position model. The record is from RNAcentral.